This 505-nucleotide ribosomal RNA is filed under the name uncultured bacterium. RNAcentral describes it as "bacterial SSU rRNA". It matches the Rfam family "Bacterial small subunit ribosomal RNA", at positions 28 to 532 of the family's 1533-position model. The record is from RNAcentral.
GAUGAACGCUAGCGGCAGGCUUAACACAUGCAAGUCGAGGGGCAGCACGUCUUCGGAUGGUGGCGACCGGCGCACGGGUGAGUAACGCGUAUGCAAUCUACCUUUUACAGGGGCAUAGCCCGGGGAAACCCGGAUUAAUAUCCUAUAGUACCAUUAUAUAGCAUUAUAUUAUGGUUAAAGUUUCGGCGGUAAAAGAUGAGCAUGCGUCCUAUUAGCUUGAUGGUAAGGUAACGGCUUACCAUGGCUAUGAUAGGUAGGGGUCCUGAGAGGGAGACCCCCCACACUGGUACUGAGACACGGACCAGACUCCUACGGGAGGCAGCAGUGAGGAAUAUUGGACAAUGGGCGCAAGCCUGAUCCAGCCAUGCCGCGUGCAGGAAGACGGCCCUAUGGGUUGUAAACUGCUUUUAUACGGGAAGAAACACCCCUUCAUGAAGGGACUUGACGGUACCGUAUGAAUAAGGAUCGGCUAACUCCGUGCCAGCAGCCGCGGUAAUACGGAGGA